UAGGCGGAAUGUUGCGUACGGAUGCACGGCGCUUACCCUACAGCCACGCACUGCUAAGUCAGCCACGAAUGGUUCUAUGCCGUUAACUCGGUGAGACUCCAUGGAGGGUGUUAGACCCGUGUGAGUGCGUGUUAGAAGCUGCUAUGGGCAUUGCUGUCAUCCUGAGAGUCGCGUUGUUUGAACAUGCAGCGCUAAGCAGGUCGUAGACUCGAUCUAAGGCUAAAUAUAUCCACAGAACCGAUAGUGAACAAGUACCGUGAGGGAAAGUUGAAAAGCACUCCGUAACGGAGAGUCAAAAGACCGU
Molecule: ribosomal RNA, 304 nt
Filed under: Podocerus variegatus
Lineage: Eukaryota; Metazoa; Arthropoda; Malacostraca; Amphipoda; Podoceridae
Description: eukaryotic LSU rRNA
Rfam family: Eukaryotic large subunit ribosomal RNA
Source: RNAcentral